CUAAGUUUGAUGGCGACCGGCGCACGGGUGAGUAACACGUAUCCAACCUGCCGAUGACUCGGGGAUAGCCUUUCGAAAGAAAGAUUAAUACCCGAUGGCAUAGUUCUUCCGCAAGGUAGAACUAUUAAAGAAUUUCGGUCAUCGAUGGGGAUGCGUUCCAUUAGCUUGUUGGCGGGGUAACGGCCCACCAAGGCGUCGAUGGAUAGGGGUUCUGAGAGGAAGGUCCCCCACAUUGGAACUGAGACACGGUCCAAACUCCUACGGAAGGCAGCAG
RNAcentral lists this ribosomal RNA (274 nucleotides) under uncultured bacterium. RNAcentral describes it as "partial 16S ribosomal RNA". It matches the Rfam family "Bacterial small subunit ribosomal RNA", at positions 79 to 354 of the family's 1533-position model. The record is from RNAcentral.